This 343-nucleotide ribosomal RNA is filed under the name Lactococcus lactis. Its description in RNAcentral is "bacterial SSU rRNA". It matches the Rfam family "Bacterial small subunit ribosomal RNA", at positions 67 to 402 of the family's 1533-position model. The record is from RNAcentral. Lineage: Bacteria; Bacillati; Bacillota; Bacilli; Lactobacillales; Streptococcaceae.
CUUGCAUCAUGAUUUACACUGAGUGAGUGGCGAACUGGUGAGUAACACGUGGGAAACCUGCCCAGAAGCGGGGGAUAACACCUGGAAUCAGAUGCUAAUACCGCAUAACAACUUGGACACCAUGGUCCGAGCUUGAAAGAUGGCUUCGGCUAUCACUUUUGGAUGGUCCCGCGGCGUAUUAGCUAGAUGGUGGGGUAACGGCUCACCAUGGCAAUGAUACGUAUCCGACCUGAGAGGGUAAUCGGCCACAUUGGGACCAAGACACGGCCCAAACUCCUACGGGAGGCAGCACUAGGCCUGAAUCUUCCACAAUGGACGAAAGUCUGAUGGAGCAACGCCGCGU